GUCUUGAUCUGCAACAGAUACGAGCAGGCAUUCGCUUCUCUCUAUGACUCCACAUGUCGUGCUUGGGGAGAUAGUUUCUCGAUGGCAAUAGAAAAUAAAAUUCAUUGGACAAGGUACAGCAUCCUUGUCGGAAAUGUGCUUUGCUGGGCGAUUUGUGGAGGUGAUGCCCAUGUUUUUGAUACUGAAAUGCAGAGUCUUGCUGUGAUUGAGAAGCCGGCAGACAAGAAAGCUAUCAGUGACUGGUCUUUUCAGCUCUUACGGAUGGAGGAUGGUGGACUAGGCCUCGCUGCUUUGUCGGGACUGACCGUCCAAUUAUGGGAUAGGAAACUUAACUGUGAAGGUGUUGUCGGAUGGGUGUUGCUGCAGAAAACCAUUCCUUUGGAGGGGUUGCUUCCAAGCACAAAGCCUUUGGUAUUUAUCGUGGGGUAUGAUGAGGACACAAAUGCGAUUGUUCGGUCUACGGGGAUUGGCAACUUCAUGAUCCAACUUGACUCAAUGCAGAUCAAACAUAUCAUUAAAAGAAAUGACAUGUGUAUCCACAUGUUUUAUCCCUACCAUAAUUUCUACACU
This 570-nucleotide ribosomal RNA is filed under the name Triticum aestivum (bread wheat). RNAcentral describes it as "partial small subunit ribosomal RNA". Lineage: Eukaryota; Viridiplantae; Streptophyta; Magnoliopsida; Poales; Poaceae. The record is from RNAcentral.